AGAGUUUGAUUAUGGCUCAGGAUGAACGCUGGCGGCGCGCCUAACACAUGCAAGUCGAACGGCACCCCUCUCCGGAGGGAAGCGAGUGGCGAACGGCUGAGUAACACGUGGAGAACCUGCCCCCUCCCCCGGGAUAGCCGCCCGAAAGGACGGGUAAUACCGGAUACCCCGGGGUGCCGCAUGGCACCCCGGCUAAAGCCCCGACGGGAGGGGAUGGCUCCGCGGCCCAUCAGGUAGACGGCGGGGUGACGGCCCACCGUGCCGACAACGGGUAGCCGGGUUGAGAGACCGACCGGCCAGAUUGGGACUGAGACACGGCCCAG
RNAcentral lists this ribosomal RNA (323 nucleotides) under uncultured bacterium. Its description in RNAcentral is "bacterial SSU rRNA". It matches the Rfam family "Bacterial small subunit ribosomal RNA", at positions 8 to 334 of the family's 1533-position model. The record is from RNAcentral.